This 465-nucleotide ribosomal RNA is filed under the name uncultured bacterium. RNAcentral's name for it is "bacterial SSU rRNA". It matches the Rfam family "Bacterial small subunit ribosomal RNA", at positions 32 to 507 of the family's 1533-position model. The record is from RNAcentral.
AAUCAACGCUGGCGGCGUGCCUCAGACAUGCAAGUCGAACGAUUAAAGCUCUCUUCGGAGAGUGCAUAAAGUGGCGCACGGGUGAGUAACACGUAAGUAAUCUACCUUCGAGUGGGGAAUAACGUCCGGAAACGGACGCUAAUACCGCAUAAUGCAGCGGCAUCGUAAGAUGACAGUUGUUAAAGAUUUAUCGCUUGAAGAGGAGCUUGCGGCAGAUUAGCUAGUUGGUAAGGUAAUGGCUUACCAAGGCUACGAUCUGUAACCGGUCUUAGAGGACGGUCGGUCACACUGACACUGAAUAACGGGUCAGACUCCUACGGGAGGCAGCAGUCGGGAAUUUUGGGCAAUGGGCGAAAGCCUGACCCAGCAACGCCGCGUGAAGGAUGAAGUAUUUCGGUAUGUAAACUUCGAAAGAAUAGGAAGAAUAAAUGACGGUACUAUUUAUAAGGUCCGGCUAACUACGUG